Molecule: non-coding RNA, 159 nt
Organism: Pelobates cultripes (western spadefoot toad)
Lineage: Eukaryota; Metazoa; Chordata; Amphibia; Anura; Pelobatidae
Source: the annotation of a GenBank genome assembly
GCUGACACAUCCCUGCCAAUCUCCGGCAGACCCUCCCUCCCAGACCCUCCCACUUCCUGGACAGCAUCCAUGUUGAAGGCAGCUUCAACAUGGAUGUUGUCCAGGAGGUGGGAGGGUCUGGGAGGGAGGGUCUGCCGGAGAUUGGCAGGGAUGUGUCAG